This 301-nucleotide ribosomal RNA is filed under the name uncultured bacterium. Its description in RNAcentral is "partial 16S ribosomal RNA". It matches the Rfam family "Bacterial small subunit ribosomal RNA", at positions 509 to 809 of the family's 1533-position model. The record is from RNAcentral.
CAGCCGCCGCGGUAAUACGAAGGGUGCAAGCGUUAAUCGGAAUUACUGGGCGUAAAGCGCGCGUAGGUGGUUUGGUAAGAUGGAUGUGAAAUCCCCGGGCUCAACCUGGGAACUGCAUCCAUAACUGCCUGACUAGAGUACGGUAGAGGGUGGUGGAAUUUCCUGUGUAGCGGUGAAAUGCGUAGAUAUAGGAAGGAACACCAGUGGCGAAGGCGACCACCUGGACUGAUACUGACACUGAGGUGCGAAAGCGUGGGGAGCAAACAGGAUUAGAUACCCCCGUAGUCCCUGUCUCUUAUAA